This 253-nucleotide ribosomal RNA is filed under the name uncultured bacterium. Its description in RNAcentral is "partial 16S ribosomal RNA". It matches the Rfam family "Bacterial small subunit ribosomal RNA", at positions 524 to 776 of the family's 1533-position model. The record is from RNAcentral.
UACGUAGGGGCCGAGCGUUGUCCGGAGUUACUGGGCGUAAAGCGUGCGCAGGCGGCGCGUUCUGCCCGGCGUGAAAGCCCCCGGCUCAACCGGGGAGGGUCGUCGGGGACGGGCGCGCUUGAGGGUAUCAGGGGCUGGUGGAAUUCCCGGUGUAGUGGUGAAAUGCGUAGAGAUCGGGAGGAACACCUGUGGCGAAGGCGGCCAGCUGGGAUACACCUGACGCUGAGGCACGAAGGCGUGGGGAGCGAACGGG